RNAcentral lists this ribosomal RNA (1347 nucleotides) under uncultured marine eukaryote. RNAcentral's name for it is "SSU rRNA". It matches the Rfam family "Eukaryotic small subunit ribosomal RNA", at positions 411 to 1776 of the family's 1831-position model. The record is from RNAcentral.
CACUUCUAAGGAAGGCAGCAGGCGCGCAAAUUACCCAAUCCUGACUCAGGGAGGUAGUGACAAGAAAUAACAAUAAACCGGCUUAUGCCGGUUUAAUUGGAAUGAGUACAAUUUAAACAUCUUAACGAGGAACAAUUGGAGGGCAAGUCUGGUGCCAGCAGCCGCGGUAAUUCCAGCUCCAAUAGCGUAUAUUAAAGUUGUUGCGGUUAAAAAGCUCGUAGUUGGAUUUCUGCUUAGUGCGACCGGUCCACCUUAGGGUUGGUAUCAGGUACGUACCGGGCAUAUUCCUAGGAAAUACGGCUGCGCCUCGUUGUGUGGCCUGUUCCCUGGGUCUUUUACUUUGAGGAAAUUAGAGUGUUUCAAGCAGGCAUCCGCCUUGAAUACAUUAGCAUGGAAUAAUACGAUAGGACUUUGGUUCUGUCUUGUUGGUUUCGGGAACUAAGGUAAUGAUUGAUAGGGACAGUUGGGGCGGUCUGUAUUCCAAAGCGAGAGGUGAAAUUCUUAGACCUUCGGAAGACAAACAGCUGCGAAAGCGUUCCGCAAGGAUGUUCCCUUUGAUCAAGAACGAAAGUUGGGGGAUCGAAGACGAUCAGAUACCGUCGUAGUCUCAACUAUAAACUAUACCAGCUAGGGAUCGGCCAACGUUAUUUAAACCGACUUGGUCGGCACCUUAUGAGAAAUCAAAGCAUCUGGGUUCCGGGGGGAGUAUGGUCGCAAGGCUGAAACUUAAAGGAAUUGACGGAAGGGCACCACCAGCCGUGGAGCCUGUGGCUUAAUUUGACUCAACACGGGAAAACUUACCAGGUCCAGACAUAGUAAGGAUUGACAGAUUGAUAGCUCUUUCUUGAUUCUGUGGGUGGUGGUGCAUGGCCGUUCUUAGUUGGUGGAGUGAUUUGUCUGGUUAAUUCCGUUAACGAACGAGACCCCAGCCUGCUAAAUAGCGCGCGUGAGCUUUGCUCGCGGCGAGCUUCUUAGAGGGACUAUGAUGCGCGAUAGCACAUGGAAGUUUGGGGCAAUAACAGGUCUGUGAUGCCCUUAGAUGUUCUGGGCCGCACACGGGCUACACUGGCGCCUGCAACGAGCAUAUCAGCUGGCCCGAGAGGGUCUUGGCUAAUCUUUUGAACCGGCGCCGUGCUUGGGAUUGACCUUUGCAAUUGUUGGUCAUGCAACGAGGAAUGCCUUGUAAACGCGAGUCAUCAGCUCGCAUUGAAUACGUCCCUGCCCUUUGUACACACCGCCCGUCGCUCCUACCGAUGAAUGUUCCGAUGAAAUUUUCGGAGAGCACCUGUGAACUUGGCUCUGCCUUGCGAACGGGAGGCUCAAAGUCACUUAAAUCUGAACAUUUCG